GAUGAAGAACGUAGCGAAAUGCGAUACGUAAUGCGAAUUGCAGAUUCAGCGAGUCAUCGAAUCUUUGAACGCACAUUGCGCCCCCUGGCAUUCCGGGGGGCAUGCCUGUCCGAGCGUCAUUUCUGCCCUCCAGCCCGGCUGGGUGUUGGGCGCUGUCCCCCCGGGGACACGCCCCAAAGGCAGUGGCGGCGCCGCGUCGGGUCCUCGAGCGUAUGGGGCUUUGUCACCCGCUCGGGACGGACUCGUCGGCGCUGGUCUUCCUCCAGGCGACCCUUCGGGGCUCGUCUUCCUUCGGUUGACCUCGGAUCAGGUAGGGUUACCCGCUGAACUUAAGCAUAUCAAUAAGCGGAGGA
RNAcentral lists this unclassified non-coding RNA (353 nucleotides) under soil metagenome. RNAcentral describes it as "partial contains 5.8S ribosomal RNA, internal transcribed spacer 2, and large subunit ribosomal RNA". The stretch from base 1 to 119 matches the Rfam family "5.8S ribosomal RNA", at positions 35 to 154 of the family's 154-position model. The record is from RNAcentral.